AGAGUUUGAUCAUGGCUCAGAUUCAACGCUGGCGGUAUGCUUAACACAUGCAAGUCGAACGGUAACAGUCCCUCACCUAGAAAUUUCUUAAAAAGAGAUUUGUAGGUGAGGGAGCUGACGAGUGGCGGACGGGUGCGUAAUGUAUAGGAAUCUGCCUAGUAGUGGGGGACAACUCGGAGAAAUUCGAGCUAAUACCGCAUAAGCCCUACGGGGGAAAACGGGGGAUCUUCGGACCUCGUGCUAUUAGAUGAGCCUAUAUUAGAUUAGCUUGUUGGUGAGGUAAUGGCUUACCAAGGCGACGAUCUAUAGCUGGUCUGAGAGGAUGAUCAGCCACACUGGGACUGAGACACGGCCCAGACUCCUACGGGAGGCAGCAGUGGGGAAUAUUGGACAAUGGGCGAAAGCCUGAUCCAGCAAUACCGCGUGUGUGAAGAAGGCCUGAGGGUUGUAAAGCACUUUCAAUUGGGAGGAAUACCUAAUAGUUAAUAGCUAUUAGAUUGACA
RNAcentral lists this ribosomal RNA (503 nucleotides) under uncultured bacterium. RNAcentral describes it as "bacterial SSU rRNA". It matches the Rfam family "Bacterial small subunit ribosomal RNA", at positions 8 to 474 of the family's 1533-position model. The record is from RNAcentral.